GCCUGCAGAACUCUGGGGCUAUUCGGAAGCCAAACACUGAUCUCAUCUGAACGUGGCAGACAGCCCUGACUUUCUAAUGGGCUGGCCCCAAACUCUGGAUCCCUACAUUUCAAACUCCGGAACGUGAGCUGAAUGUGCAGUGUGAGAUUCCCUCGGCUUCUCGUGCGGAGUGAGGAAAAUAUGAAAUACGGUCCCAAAACUGGAAAAGCACCAGACCAGAAAUUAAAGAACAGGAUGAAAGGACCAGACCAGGAGAUCAAGGGAGGUGACAGCUAUCAUGGAAGGUGAAAGAACUUGCCGAUACCCUGGAAUGCAGUAACUUGGGCCCAUUUACCUAUUCUGUCUUGUCUGUUAUUAUGUGUCUGGCUUAAAUGUGUGUCCAGGCAUUAUAACAAUAAUUCUGUCUGAAAUUGUAGAAAUAAAGAUUAAAUCUGCUUAAACCUAAA
This is a non-coding RNA of Chrysemys picta bellii (western painted turtle), 446 nucleotides long. The record is from RefSeq and is a predicted model, not a curated record. NCBI's taxonomy places the organism in Eukaryota, Metazoa, Chordata, Testudines, Emydidae.